GAUGAACGCUGGCGGCGUGCUUAACACAUGCAAGUCGAACGUGAGAGGUAGCAAUAUCUUGAAAGUGGCGCACGGGUGAGUAACACGUAGGUAACCUGCCUCGGAGUGGGGGAUAACAGUUAGAAAUGACUGCUAAUACCGCAUGAAUCCAUUAAGAUGGGAAUGUUGAUGGAGAAAAACUCUGGUGCUUCGAGAGGGCCUGCGAUCGAUUAGCUAGUUGCGGGUAAACGGCCACCAAGGCGACGAUCGAUAGCUGGUCUGAGAGGACGAUCAGCCACACGGGAACUGAAACACGGUCCCGACUCCUACGGGGGCAGCAGUGAGGAAUAUUGGGCAAUGGGGGAAACCCUGAUGCAGCGACGCCGCG
This 367-nucleotide ribosomal RNA is filed under the name uncultured bacterium. Its description in RNAcentral is "bacterial SSU rRNA". It matches the Rfam family "Bacterial small subunit ribosomal RNA", at positions 28 to 401 of the family's 1533-position model. The record is from RNAcentral.